Molecule: long non-coding RNA, 2228 nt
Filed under: Homo sapiens (human)
Lineage: Eukaryota; Metazoa; Chordata; Mammalia; Primates; Hominidae
Description: HSALNT0385546
Source: RNAcentral
AGAAAGCAAGAGAGUCAGAUCUCCUGGGUGAUAGGCCAGAGAUAUGUCACAAUCCCUUCUGUUGACAGGUCCCAAACAAGGAGUUACAUCACCUGGGUGCUUGGCUCAGUGAUAUGUCACAAUGCCCAGUGUAGGCAGGGACAGGCAGGAGAGUCACAUUACCUGGGUGCUUGGCCCAGUGGUAUGUCACAAUCCCUUAUGUAGGGAGGGCACAGGUAGCAAAAGACUGUCACAUCAUCUAGUUGCUGGACUAGAGCUAUUGGUCUCUCGGUCGUUCAGGGAGAGGGUUAGGAUCUCCUUAGACAUCCAUGUAACAGAGCCCCAACUCAUCCGUGCUCAGAAGCAAAGGCCAGUGGAGACCAAAUAAGGCUUGAAAGCAUACUUUUGAUCAUCGUCCCUGUCGUCACAAUGGGGCGCCUGACACCAAGGAGACCCUGGAAACCCACUGAACUCAGGCCCUGCAGGGGUCAGGUGAACAUGUAGGAAGUCCAGGAGAAAAGUCAUCUGCCGUCUCCAGAAUGAACAGCAUUCCAGGAAGAACUCCCCCACACUCCAGGAAGAAGUCAUGAGCCCAGUGGGGAGGCAGGUCCAGCCUGCAACAACUUAGACAUAUGCGGUGCUCCAUAGCUCAUGCUUGUGUCCUGCAGGCAGGAGCACACAUCAGGGUCCGCAGUCUUUGUUCUGGGUGUGGAAUUAGUGCUUCAGCUGGUUCCCCAGGUGUCCCCAGAGGGGGAAAGGGUGGAAAAGGUAAGAAUCUUCAGCACAGCAGAUCGCCUUGCCCUGGCAGCGACCAGCCCUGCCCCUGAGGGGCACCAGCAGCCCCCAACUAGAGGCAGUCAUGUCAGGCCUCCUCCCUACAGCAACUCUCCUGCCUUUUUUUUUCUUUUUUUCACCGCCCUAACCCCCUACUUUUGGUCAUCCUCCUUGUCACAAUGGGGCACCUGCACUGUAGAGACUCUAGAAACACGCAGAUCUGGGGUCCUGCAGCGUCCAGGCUAACAUGCCAGGAAUCAGAGAGAAAAGUCCUCUGAAGCCUCCAGAAGGAAGGGAACAGGACCCGUCACUGCAGGAAGAAGUGGGGCACCCAGUGGCAGAUGGAGGCCCCACGCACUGCAGAGGUAAAUGUGUAAGGCGCUCCCUGGCCCGCGCCUGUUUCCUGGAUGCUGGAGUCCGUGACCAGGCCUGGGGUGGCCCUUCCACACACAGAAUAAGCUGUUGGGCUGGCUGCCUCACCCAGCACCCGGGCCGCGCCAGAGAGUAUCUCAGAUGCUGCUUUCCUGCCACCUCAGCGACCCCAGUAACACUUCUCCCACAGGGACUCCGCCGUGCCCAGCUCUCCAGCCUGGGGAUUCUCAUCACCCAGUGAUUCCAAAAGAAACGAUCUACAAUGUUAUGACCAAAUGCCAGAAACAAACAAACAAAAUAUCUGAGGGCAGUCCAUUGGUCACUUCCAUUUUUCAAAGGUGACAAUUGUCCCUCCUUGAAAUCUUGAGAGUGCAUGAACAGGCUAUUCUAAUAGAUGUGCAAUUUGCACUAAAACUGAUUGAAGAGCAAAUUCUGAUUCCAAGGUACUUUGUAUUCUCAAAUUGCCUCUGCUGCCCCUGGCCCCCUCAAAAUGGAAGAGUGAGGACUACUUGACAUCUUAGCACUGUGCGGACAUAGAGCCUUACAUGGAGGUGUGUCAAAAACGGCAUUCCAUAAAGGGCUGUCACUUCCAAUUUUCAAGCAAGGACCUGUCAGAAUCCCACCCUUCCUUCUGUCUCCCAUCGAAGUCCUCCAGGAAAUGCAGCUGUUUCAGUGACAGGGGGUGAUUGCCAUCUUCCAACUGAGGAGGAAUUUGGGGUUUUGGUCCAGUCCAUGAAGUGUGACACAGUCAGAAUAAAAGGUGAGGGCCUAACAGAUUAGCAGACGGUAGGAGAAGACUAUCUUGCAGCCAGCUUCAGAGAGCCUGUGGCCAUGGCUCCCAGGUCAACAUUAGGCCCUGUUGCCUGGGAACCCCUGGGCAGGCAGUGGGAAGGUUGAGGUGUGGCUCCUGGUAGCCUCAGAACUGCCACUAUUUCCUGAAGCUCCUACUUGUUCUGUCAGCUAAGCCCCCAUCCCAGUAGGCCAGCAACACCCUCAAGACCAAGAACAGGCCAUGGUGAAUCUCAGGGCCACUAAGUACCUGGGCUGGCAGGGGCAGAGUGCCUCAGGGCUCAGUGUUGUUUGGGCUGAGCAUGGGCUUUGGG